GGGGCUGUGGCUCCAUGGCAGAGCGCUUGCCUGUUGUGCCUGAGGCCCUGGGUUCCAUCCCCAGUACCGCCA
Molecule: transfer RNA, 72 nt
Filed under: Heterocephalus glaber (naked mole-rat)
Lineage: Eukaryota; Metazoa; Chordata; Mammalia; Rodentia; Bathyergidae
Rfam family: tRNA
About the family: Transfer RNA (tRNA) molecules are approximately 80 nucleotides in length. Their secondary structure includes four short double-helical elements and three loops (D, anti-codon, and T loops).
Source: Rfam by way of RNAcentral